This 685-nucleotide unclassified non-coding RNA is filed under the name uncultured bacterium. Its description in RNAcentral is "partial contains 16S ribosomal RNA, 16S-23S ribosomal RNA intergenic spacer, and 23S ribosomal RNA". The stretch from base 555 to 685 matches the Rfam family "Bacterial large subunit ribosomal RNA", at positions 1 to 131 of the family's 2925-position model. The record is from RNAcentral.
UGCGGCUGGAUCCCCUCCUUUAAAAGACAGCACGAGCCAGCGGCUCGGUGCGAGUCCCCAUUCAAGUUACCUGUCUCGAUGAACGUGUCGCUGGACUGAUCGCCGGCGCCGCAGGCCACGCCUGGGGCAUAGUCGAAACGCCGGGUCUGUAGCUCAGUUGGUCAGAGCGCACCCCUGAUAAGGGUGAGGCCGGAAGUUCGAAUCUUCCCAGACCCACCAUUCUGGGGAUCUGACCAAAGGGGCCAUAGCUCAGCUGGGAGAGCACCUGCUUUGCAAGCAGGGGGUCGCCGGUUCGAUCCCGGCUGGCUCCACCAGAUCAGUCGGCAGUUCCGCGUGCCACCACGCAUGCACCGCGUCGAGUCGCUCGAUGCAUGCGUGGUCUCACGCGUCGCAGUGAACACUGCAACGCACGCUCUUUAAGAAAUCGAAUUUGGGUAUGACGCCGAGGAUCAAGUUGUUUCAACUUGAAAUUCGAAAGCGUGUCGCAUUCGUAGAAAGAUACCAGCUGAUUGGUGAUUAUUCAGGCCAUCGCCCCAGAACGAUUGGGGUUAUAUGGUCAAGCGGAUAAGCGUACGUGGUGGAUGCCUUGGCGGUAGGAGGCGAUGAAGGACGCGGUAGCCCGCGAAAACUUCGGGGAGCUGGCAAACGAGCUCUGAUCCGGAGGUGUCCGAAUGGGGAAACCCGG